Molecule: ribosomal RNA, 427 nt
Filed under: uncultured bacterium
Lineage: Bacteria
Description: bacterial SSU rRNA
Rfam family: Bacterial small subunit ribosomal RNA
Source: RNAcentral
AACGAACGCUGGCGGCAGGCUUAACACAUGCAAGUCGAACGAAGCCUUCGGGCUUAGUGGCGCACGGGUGAGUAACACGUAGGUAACCUGCCUCAAAGACUGGGACAACCUUCCGAAAGGAGGGCUAAUACCGGAUAAGACCACAGGAUCUGCGGAUCAAGGGGUCAAUGGGUGCUUCAAAGUAUCGCUUUGAGAGGGGCCUGCGGUGCAUUAGCUAGUUGGUAGGGUAAUGGCCUACCAAGGCUACGAUGCAUAGCUGGUCUGAGAGGACGACCAGCCACACUGGGACUGAGACACGGCCCAGACUCCUACGGGAGGCAGCAGUGGGGAAUUUUGGACAAUGGGCGCAAGCCUGAUCCAGCAAUGCCGCGUGAGUGAAGAAGGCCUUCGGUUGUAAGACGUACUUUCUAGUCGAGAAGAAAAGGAC